GAUGAACGCUGGCGGCGUGCCUAAUACAUGCAAGUCGAGCGAACGGACGAGAAGCUUGCUUCUCUGAUGUUAGCGGCGGACGGGUGAGUAACACGUGGAUAACCUACCUAUAAGACUGGGAUAACUUCGGGAAACCGUAGCUAAUACCGGAUAAUAUUUUGAACCGCAUGGUUCAAAAGUGAAAGACGGUCUUGCUGUCACUUAUAGAUGGAUCCGCGCUGCAUUAGCUAGUUGGUAAGGUAACGGCUUACCAAGGCAACGAUGCAUAGCCGACCUGAGAGGGUGAUCGGCCACACUGGAACUGGGACACGGUCCGGACUCCUACGGGAGGCAGCAGUAGGGAAUCUUCCGCAAUGGGCGAAAGCCUGACGGAGCAACGCCGCGUGAGUGAUGAAGGUCUUCGGAUCGUAAAACUCUGUUAUUAGGGAAGAACAUAUGUGUAAGUAACUGUGCACAUCUUGACGGUACCUAAUCAGAAAGCCACGGCUAACUACGUG
RNAcentral lists this ribosomal RNA (497 nucleotides) under uncultured bacterium. Its description in RNAcentral is "partial 16S ribosomal RNA". It matches the Rfam family "Bacterial small subunit ribosomal RNA", at positions 28 to 507 of the family's 1533-position model. The record is from RNAcentral.